CAAGGGCCUAAUUAGCUAUUCAGUAUCGCAAAAUUGUGUUCGAGCAAGUAGCGACAAUCCAUCCUCAUGUUCAUGAACCGAAGCAUAACAAUAACAUCUAAUCCUUAUAAACUGAACCAAAAACAAAAAAAAAAUGUCUAGAAGUUAACAUGGCUAUAAAAAAGUCUACCACAUUGCCUUGUUCCCCGAAAUGUAAAUAAAAAUAAAAGACCUACGAAAUAACAAAUAAACUUGCUUGGAUCACAUCUCAGAAACCACAUUGCUUACACUGGUACACAACUAAUCUACAAUGGUUUAAAAGGAUUGGGUGAGCUUAACAAG
RNAcentral lists this long non-coding RNA (321 nucleotides) under Gossypium raimondii (Peruvian cotton). Its description in RNAcentral is "long non-coding RNA (GRAI_LNC004527)". The record is from RNAcentral. Lineage: Eukaryota; Viridiplantae; Streptophyta; Magnoliopsida; Malvales; Malvaceae.